Molecule: long non-coding RNA, 6078 nt
Filed under: Nicotiana benthamiana
Lineage: Eukaryota; Viridiplantae; Streptophyta; Magnoliopsida; Solanales; Solanaceae
Description: long non-coding RNA (NBEN_LNC008985)
Source: RNAcentral
AGAGGGGUUGCUCUGAUGGUAAGCAACCCCCACUUCCAACCGAGAGGUUGUGAGUUCGAGUGAAGUUUUUAGAGGGAGGGAUGCCGAGGGUCUAUUUGGAAACAGCCUCUCUACCUAAGGGUAGAUGUAAGGUCUGCGUACACACUACCCUCCCCAGACCCCACUAAGUGGGAUUAUACUGGGUUGUUUCUACCCAAGGGUAGGGGUAAGGUCUGCGUACACACUACCCUCCCCAGACCCCGCUAAGUGGGAUUAUACUCGGUUGUUGUUGUUGUAUUUUACAUUUGAUGUUGAAAUUAGUUAUUGUAAUUGCAAUUUUAUUGAACUAAAUUCAUAUACAUUUGAUAUAUUCUUAAUUUCCCAAAAAUUUUGCGCUGCACUACAAAGAGGCAUGCGCUUUUCUUCUCACUAUACAAUCAAGCUCCAUGGAAAUUAUCGCUUUUUUUUUUUGCGCUUUUUGCUUUUAAUAACAAUGGUCUUUCCUUAAAUAUGGUAGUUAGACCUUGAAAUAGGAUAGUUGAUGAUGCCUAAGCAUUAUUUGGUACACAACUUGAUGUAUUCUUUUCUAUUUUUCAACCAAUUGAGUUCCUUCAAGUAAUUUGUUGCAUGAAAUCAUGAACAAAGUCAUGCUGGAUAUGUAUUGGAUUAACUAUACAGAAUUUGGAGUAACUCCAGGUCAACCAUCAAGUGGAAAAUGAAUCUUAGAGCUUAGAGCAUCCAACAAUUUUAAGAUUCUAAUGCUAAAUACAGCUAUAAAAUUUAUUCCCGUAUGUCAGCCAUUCAAUUACUGGAACUAAAAAAAAUAUUCAAAGAAGUAUUACACCCCCCGCCCCAAGAUAAAAAAAUUUGGUUAGCACCAGAAAAAAGAAAUUAAAGAUAAAAGACAGAAAAAGGCAAAUAGAGAUUUAACUUGCCUCAGUUCUGACGACCCAUGAUGAUUUUGAAACGGAAAGGAGCGGAGGCAGCUUUGGAUUUGAAGAGUGGUUGCCGUUACUUGAAUUUGGGGCUUCCCCUCCAAUGGCGUUAAUGAAACAAGUCAAUCUUAUCACUCCCAUAUUCUGAGACAAAUGUUCCUGAUCUUGUUUAAGUGAUUCAGUAUAAAGAAAGAAAUAAAAUUAGAUUAUAUUUAGUUGACACCUUGAUGUUUCAAAAUAUGGCAUUUAACUCCCUUGUUCAAGUGAUUCAGUAUAAAGAAAGAAAUAAAAUUAGAUUAUAUUUAGUUGACACCUUGAGGUUUCAAAAUAUGGCAUUUAACUCCCCAUCUAAUUUGAGAACUGCAGUAGUUAGCUAAGGGUGUUCGUCAGCCUAAGGGUGUUCGUCAGCCGAUACCCCACGGUAUUUAGAUAUUUCUGUUCGGUAUUUUUAGUAUUCAAUUUCUUAAAAUGCGAUAUCAAUACCGUACCUAAUUAUUUUUGUGGCUUUUUUCAUUUCAGUUUCGAUCUAUUCGGUACGGUAAUUUCAGUUUCAAUAUUAACUAGUACAUAAAGUCAUAGGCUAUAAUAGACUUAAUUAAAGUACACACAAAUAUAAAAAUAAAUAAGGUUCUAAGUUCAAUAAAUUAUCCAAAACUAGCAAAUAUCAACCCAUAGAGAGAAAAAGGUACAUAAAAAAGUAAAUUUAAUCAUUGAAAAUAUUUUGUUACUUGCUUGGAGCUAAUUGCUAAGUUAGAAAAUACAAUAAGGACUAAUCCAAUAGAUGCAAUUUAAUACACGAGAAGAAAUACCUUAAGACCGUAAAAUUAUUACGCUAAGAUGAUUGAGCUACAUUAUUCCACCAUUUUCCUAAAGAAGCACAGGGUUUUUCAGAUCAGGCUAAUUUCUUUCCUACCUCGCUCUUGUUUUUUCGUUUGAUUUUAUUUCCCUAGCCGAAGCAAGCCGAAGAAAAUAAAUGUUCAAGUAGCACGGAAGAUGCAUCAGGAUGGUCUUUUAUUUUGCGCACACCUAUCCUAGACGGAUCCAAAUCCCGUGUUGAGUCCCCGAAGUCAAAUGCACGUGAUAUAAACAAAUGUUCCUACUAAAGAUCUACUAUGAGGCUAUGUUAUUCUAAGUUUAAACUUGGGGGUGUGUUCUAGACAUCAUACAUGGUUUACCCAAGCAGAGAUGGGGGCAAUGUAUAUCACAAAAAUCUACCCGGCCUAGUUGUUGAUCCAACCUCGUUUUAUGUGGUAUGAAUUCUAACAUAAAAGUAGGCCACGCGUUCGUGUGCACCAUAUUUUUUGAAGACUCAAAAGGGGGGCGUAAGAAGACAGUAUAACAUAAUUCAAAUAAUAUAAAAGGUGUAAAUAAGCGAUAAUUAGCACAUUAGGCCCACAAACAUAGUAAUAUGAACAAACAGUAAUGCCAAGUAAAAUUACAUUAACAAGCUCGAAUUAUGAACCCUGAACCAGAGAUUCCAGGAUUGAUCUCCAAUGGAGUCGAAAAAGCUAUCACACCUCUUUAUUCCUAAGGGCAUAGGGAGAUUUUCCAAUUAAAGUGAAUUAUUCGAAAUGAGAUUAUUUAUUGGUUCAAAGUAACCACUUGAAAUAAUUUAUGGUGUCCCAAGUCACGAUUUAUUUUAAAUCCCAAAUCGAGGAAGUUUGACUCUUAUUUAUAGUCUGUGAACACAGAAGAGCGGAUAAGGAAUUCUAUUAGUUCGGGAGAAGGUAUGAGGCAUUCCCAAGUUUCAUUGUAUUAGCAUAGUCGCUUUAAUCAUAUCUAGCUUAAUUAAUUGUUUAAUUUCUCAUUUUAUAACCUAUGUAUAUUUUUAUCUUUUACCGAUUAUAAUUAUGGCGUUUAAGGAAUUAAUCUUGAAAAUCAUAACUAUGUCAUGAGAACGUGUAUAUAAUCAUGAUAAUAAGUUAAGUCGCGCCUAAAAGCAUUUCUAGAAGUAUUUAACUCCACCUAGCCUAGCCAGAAAAAUAAAUUAGAUAAAAUGAAUUGAAAAAGAAAAGGAAUACGUAGGUUGAUUCCAAGAUGUAUGAUUGAAUCAAAGUGAUUUUUAUUUCAUUCAAGUACUGGAUCUCCUGUCUCAUCUCAAUUAACGCUGGAAAGAAUGCCCACCAAGUUCAGAUAAGGAAAUGCUUUCCCCAACCAUUAAAGGAAAGGCUCGACGAAGGGAGGGAGGUGGGGCCACCGAAUCGAAUUGGGUCCAUGAACGUAAGAAAUGGUUAGAAUUCUUGAUCUUUCUUAACAUCUCUCUCAAUUCGAAAAUCCAGAAAUUGAAUUGAUAUCACUAUGUCAUAAGAAAGUGUAUAUAAUCAUGAUAAUAAGUUAACUCGCGCCUAAAAAGCAUUUCUACAAGUAUUUAUUUAUUUUAGUUGUCCUCAGAAUGAUUACAUUAUGGACAAACACUCUAGGCAAAGUGACGGUUUGAAAAUGAAAAUCAAUUGUAAUUGAUUGAGUUAAACUAUUGAAUCGAACUACAAUGUCAUGAAGUAAACAAACAUUAUAUGUGGUGUUAAUGUUACGGAUGAUUUGAAGUACAAAAAAUAAUAGACUUGAUCACCAAAAUUUCAUAACUUAUUACUAAAUACAUUGGUUAAUAACAAUAACAGCGUUAUGGGAUUAGUUGUAUUUAAAUAAGGGAUUUUUACCUAUCUAUACCAUAUAGCAAAUUUUAUUACCAAAAAUGUUUACCAAUUGGUAUUUACCCGUAUUGUCCACAUUAUCCCUACAAAAUAUAUACCAAGCCCAUAAACAGCGAGAUUCUACCAAAAAACGCGCGAGAUUAUAGGGGGAGGAUUUGUGUGUGAUCCUAUCAACAUUUAAUUCGAAAUUUGAAACGGAAGUAAAUCUGUAGCCGCGUAAAUCUCUCUCUCCAUAUAUUUUCCACUAUUAAUAGCUAUUAAAAGCUUGAAAGCUUUGAAUUCAAAUUUGAAUUUUCAAAAAUCAUUAUUUGUUUGGAUUUGGNNNNNNNNNNNNNNNNNNNNNNNNNNNNNNNNNNNNNNNNNNNNNNNNNNNNNNNNNNNNNUAUUUGUUUGGAUUUGGUGUUGUUGUAAAUAAUUCGGAAUAUGUUUAGGAGUUUAUAUCUCAAUUUUGAGGGGUUUUGGUGAAGAUUAUACUUGGUUUUUACUGAAUUUCAGAUUGAAACUCGUUGAAGAAGAAGAAGAAGACAUAUUUUCAGAAAUUGUAGUUAAAUUAUAAAAUUGUAGAUAAAUUGUAGCUGCAAUGUAGAUAAAUUAUAGAUCGGAAAGACUAAAACUUCUACAAAUCUUCUACAAUUAUGUCGAAAAUGCCAAUUAUGCUACAAUUGAAAUGGGGAUUGGGGUAUUAAGAUUCAAUGUAUUCAGUUUGUAGAAAUCUUGCAGAUAAAAUUUAUGUAAAUAAAAUACAAAUCAGUUUAAUUAUUGUAUAAAGUUGUAUUGUUUUUAAGAGUAUCUACAAAAUUACUACAUUUAAACUACAAUAUUGUGUCAUAAAAACUGUUGACAACAAAAUUUGGUUUUCAUCUACAAAUUUCUACAUACAAACUACAAGAACUAUAGUACAUACCUUUAAUAAAAUUAAUAGUAAGAAAUGUUUAAUCUUGUGUUUAGAGAACUGAACACAUUUCUUUUUUUGGUUUUUCAUAAAAUUAAAUUGCCAUGGAAUUAACUGAAGGUAAAUUGGAUUGGCAACGGAAUAGUACCGGAUUGAGGUCCGAAAGGAUAACUAGUUUAACAAGAUAGAAAAUUUGGUUUUGAGCAUUACACAUUUAUUAAGGGAUAAACUGACUUCUCCAUAGAAUUAAUUUACAUGAAUGGCGUAUUCAUGAAAUCGACCAAUCAACUAUGUAUCAACCCCAAACUAAUCGGAUUUGGCUAUAUAAAUUUGUUGUAAUGUGGGGGUGUGGGGGUGGGAGGAGAGAGAGGUAGAUAAACUAAUUGGAGAAUAUAUGCUCCUAAAAUCAUGCCUAGAAUAAAUGAAGCAAUAAUUAUACCCUUAAUUUGAAUUAUGAUAUAUAAAUUGAAAUUUGAUAUGUUUAAAUGUAAUAAACACAAACCUUAAACAUGAGAGGUAAUAUGGUUUGCUAUAUAUACAUAUAUAAAAAUCCCUAAUAUUAUUCUCUAAACCUAAGCAUUCAAAUCUAAUGAAGCCUAGUGCAGUAUAUCAAGGAUCUAUUUUACCAAGUAAAUAAACUUAUUGCAACAUGAUUUCAACUAAAAAUAUUCAAACAAUAAGCAAAAGAAAUGUACUUAAUCAAAACAUCUAUAAAGAAAGAGAAAAGACUUAGGACAUUUACAGCAAAAACAUUAAUUCGUUAGUACGUGCUAAACAAACAAAGAACAUCUAAAAUUCUAAUUGCUAAAAAUUCACAGUCCACCACAAAUUCCCAACUAAUCACAUGGCCAUCACUAUUUAAUUUUGAACUUAAUCAAACUAAACAAAUCACUUAAUAGUCACAUAAUUAAUUCAAAUUAUAACUCUAUACAUCAAAUCUAAUUAGCAAAUCCAAACAGAGAAAAUAUCUACCCGACUAUAGGAAUAGGCAUAGCAUAUAACAAAAGUCAUUCUUCACAACAGAUCUACUAUUAUACUGAAAAAAAUAGAUUAAAAAUGGACCUUUUGAUUAGCUUUCAAUGUUUGCAAGAGCUUCCAACCAAUAUACAAAGAGGAGCCUCUGACGAAGCUGGGAGCGUACGGUCCCGCCAACUGAAAGCCACGCCGGAACCUCGAUGUCAAAUCGAAUUUGGCUCAAACCCAAUUACAUGCUGCCUUGGGGAAAAAUUACGAUGGUUUUAAUGGUGCUUAUAGUUGUAUUUUCCAGCUGGGUUCGGCUGUGAAAUAUUUCUAUUUUGGAGCUAGUUUGGAGGUGAAUUUCAUGGCUGGUUUGGGGAGGAGAGUUGUUGCAUUUUCGCAGCAGCUUUUGAGAUGAAUAUUGGUGUUGAUGGAGGUGGAUUUUGAGGCAAAUUUUGGGGUGUUUUAGAUCUAGUUUAUAGCUAGUUUUUGGGGUAUUUCAGAGGUGUUUUAGGCUGAAAUUUUGGGGACGGUUUUCUGUGUAGAACAGAUGUGAGUUUAUGGUGUUGCAUUUUUUCUAAGAAAUAAGAAGAAGACCAGCCGCAGAGAUGUUGCUCUUGGUCAAGACCGUUGUCUGGCAAGCCGAUCUUAAAGUAUAAUUAAG